CGCGGCCUAUCAGCUUGUUGGUGAGGUAAUGGCUCACCAAGGCGACGACGGGUAGCCGGCCUGAGAGGGCGACCGGCCACACUGGGACUGAGACACGGCCCAGACUCCUACGGGAGGCAGCAGUGGGGAAUAUUGGGCAAUGGAGGAAACUCUGACCCAGCGACGCCGCGUGAGGGAUGAAGGCCUUCGGGUUGUAAACCUCUUUCAGUAGGGAAGAAGCGAAAGUGACGGUACCUACAGAAGAAGCACCGGCUAACUAUGUGCCAGCAGCCGCGGUAAUACAUAGGGUGCAAGCGUUGUCCGGAAUUAUUGGGCGUAAAGAGCUCGUAGGUGGUUCGAUACGUCGGAUGUGAAAAUCAGGGGCUCAACCCCUGACCUGCAUCCGAUACGGUCGAGCUAGAGUUUGGUAGGGGAGACUGGAAUUCCUGGUGUAGCGGUGGAAUGCGCAGAUAUCAGGAGGAACACCGAUGGCGAAGGCAGGUCUCUGGGCCAAUACUGACACUGAGGAGCGAAAGCGUGGGGAGCGAACAGGAUUAGAUACCCUGGUAGUCCACGCCGUAAACGGUGGGCGCUAGUUGUGCGAACCUUCCACGGUUUGUGCGACGCAGCUAACGCAUUAAGCUCCCCGCCUGGGGAGUACGG
RNAcentral lists this ribosomal RNA (642 nucleotides) under uncultured Actinomycetes bacterium. RNAcentral describes it as "bacterial SSU rRNA". It matches the Rfam family "Bacterial small subunit ribosomal RNA", at positions 232 to 885 of the family's 1533-position model. The record is from RNAcentral. Lineage: Bacteria; Bacillati; Actinomycetota; Actinomycetes.